ACAUCCAGAGAAUUUAGCAGAGAUGCUUUAGUGCCUUCGGGAACUCUGAGACAGGUGCUGCAUGGCUGUCGUCAGCUCGUGUUGUGAAAUGUUGGGUUAAGUCCCGCAACGAGCGCAACCCUUUAUCCUUUGUUGCCAGCACGUAAUGGUGGGAACUCAAAGGAGACUGCCGGUGAUAAACCGGAGGAAGGUGGGGAUGACGUCAAGUCAUCAUGGCCCUUACGAGUAGGGCUACACACGUGCUACAAUGGCGCAUACAAAGAGAAGCGACCUCGCGAGAGCAAGCGGACCUCAUAAAGUGCGUCGUAGUCCGGAUUGGAGUCUGCAACUCGACUCCAUGAAGUCGGAAUCGCUAGUAAUCGUAAAUCAGAAUGUUACGGUGAAUACGUUCCCGGGCCUUGUACACACCGCCCGUCACACCAUGGGAGUGGGUUGCAAAAGAAGUAGAUAGCUUAACCUUCGGGAGGGCGUUUACCACUUUGUGAUUCAUGACUGGGGUGAAGUCGUAACAAGGUAAGCGUAGUGCU
This 527-nucleotide ribosomal RNA is filed under the name uncultured bacterium. RNAcentral's name for it is "bacterial SSU rRNA". It matches the Rfam family "Bacterial small subunit ribosomal RNA", at positions 984 to 1509 of the family's 1533-position model. The record is from RNAcentral.